This 483-nucleotide ribosomal RNA is filed under the name uncultured bacterium. RNAcentral describes it as "partial 16S ribosomal RNA". It matches the Rfam family "Bacterial small subunit ribosomal RNA", at positions 28 to 523 of the family's 1533-position model. The record is from RNAcentral.
GACGAACGCUGGCGGCGUGCUUUACACAUGCAAGUCGAACGGUGAAGGUGGAGCUUGCUCCGCCGGAUCAGUGGCGAACGGGUGAGUAACACGUGGGCAACCUGCCCCUAACUUUGGGAUAACUACUCGAAAGAGUAGCUAAUACCGGAUAUGAAGUCUGUAGGCAUCUACGGACUUGGAAAGUUUUUCGGUUAGGGAUGGGCCCGCGGCCUAUCAGCUUGUUGGUGAGGUAGUGGCUCACCAAGGGGACGACGGGUAGCCGGCCUGAGAGGGCGACCGGCCACACUGGGACUGAGACACGGCCCAGACUCCUACGGGAGGCAGCAGUGGGGAAUAUUGCGCAAUGGGCGAAAGCCUGACGCAGCAACGCCGCGUGCGGGAUGAAGGCCUUCGGGUUGUAAACCGCUUUCAGCAGGGAAGAAGCGAAAGUGAUGGUACCUGCAGAAGAAGCACCGGCUAACUACGUGCCAGCAGCCGCGGUAA